GAAGAAAGCUGGCGGCGUGCUUAACACAUGCAAGUCGAACGGUGAAGCCCUUCGGGGUGGAUCAGUGGCGAACGGGUGAGUAACACGUGAGCAACCUGCCCCUGGCUCUGGGACAACCACUGGAAACGGUGGCUAAUACCGGAUACGACCCGCCUCGGCAUCGAGUGUGGGUGGAAAGUUUUUCGGCUGGGGAUGGGCUCGCGGCCUAUCAGCUUGUUGGUGAGGUGAAGGCUCACCAAGGCGACGACGGGUAGCCGGCCUGAGAGGGCGACCGGCCACACUGGGACUGAGACACGGCCCAGACUCCUACGGGAGGCAGCAGUGGGGAAUAUUGCACAAUGGGCGAAAGCCUGAUGCAGCGACGCCGCGUGAGGGAUGACGGCCUUCGGGUUGUAAACCUCUUUCAGCUCCGAAGAAGCGAAAGUGACGGUAGGAGCAGAAGAAGCACCGGCUAACUACGUG
RNAcentral lists this ribosomal RNA (462 nucleotides) under uncultured bacterium. RNAcentral describes it as "partial 16S ribosomal RNA". It matches the Rfam family "Bacterial small subunit ribosomal RNA", at positions 31 to 507 of the family's 1533-position model. The record is from RNAcentral.